Molecule: ribosomal RNA, 262 nt
Filed under: uncultured archaeon
Lineage: Archaea
Description: partial 16S ribosomal RNA
Rfam family: Archaeal small subunit ribosomal RNA
Source: RNAcentral
UGGCCGUAAACGAUGUGGACUUGGUGUUGGAAUGGCUCCGAGCUGCUCCAGUGCCGAAGGGAAGCUGUUAAGUCCACCGCCUGGGAAGUACGGUCGCAAGACUGAAACUUAAAGGAAUUGGCGGGGGGAGCACCACAACGCGUGGAGCCUGCGGUUUAAUUGGAUUCAACGCCGGACAUCUCACCGGAUAAGACAGCUGAAUGAUUGUCAAUCUGAAGGUUUUACAUGACUAGCUGAGAGGAGGUGCAUGGCGUCAGUGACU